CGGCAAGACGGAAAGACCCCGUGAACCUUUACUAUAGCUUGACACUGAACAUUGAGCCUUGAUGUGUAGGAUAGGUGGGAGGCUUUGAAGUGUGGACGCCAGUCUGCAUGGAGCCGACCUUGAAAUACCACCCUUUAAUGUUUGAUGUUCUAACGUUGACCCGUAAUCCGGGUUGCGGACAGUGUCUGGUGGGUAGUUUGACUGGGGCGGUCUCCUCCUAAAGAGUAACGGAGGAGCACGAAGGUUGGCUAAUCCUGGUCGGACAUCAGGAGGUUAGUGCAAUGGCAUAAGCCAGCUUGACUGCGAGCGUGACGGCGCGAGCAGGUGCGAAAGCAGGUCAUAGUGAUCCGGUGGUUCUGAAUGGAAGGGCCAUCGCUCAACGGAUAAAAGGUACUCCGGGGAUAACAGGCUGAUACCGCCCAAGAGUUCAUAUCGACGGCGGUGUUUGGCACCUCGAUGUCGGCUCAUCACAUCCUGGGGCUGAAGUAGGUCCCAAGGGUAUGGCUGUUCGCCAUUUAAAGUGGUACGCGAGCUGGGUUUAGAACGUCGUGAGACAGUUCGGUCCCUAUCUGCCGUGGGCGCUGGAGAACUGAGGGGGGCUGCUCCUAGUACGAGAGGACCGGAGUGGACGCAUCACUGGUGUUCGGGUUGUCAUGCCAAUGGCACUGCCCGGUAGCUAAAUGCGGAAGAGAUAAGUGCUGAAAGCAUCUAAGCACGAAACUUGCCCCGAGAUGAGUUCUCCCUGACUCCUUGAGAGUCCUGAAGGAACGUUGA
Molecule: ribosomal RNA, 774 nt
Filed under: Escherichia coli
Lineage: Bacteria; Pseudomonadati; Pseudomonadota; Gammaproteobacteria; Enterobacterales; Enterobacteriaceae
Description: partial 23S ribosomal RNA
Rfam family: Bacterial large subunit ribosomal RNA
Source: RNAcentral